CUUGGGAGAGACUCGACCGCUCUUUUAUUUCACCAAGUAACUAGCGUCUGGGCUGAUGGCUGCAGAAUUGCUCGCAGGGCUGGGGACAUUAAAAUCCCUGUCCAGAGCAAAUGCGGAACCGACAGCCACUUCAGCACGCAGGAUUUGUGGAACCAUCGCCCGCAUUAAGUGCUAGCAUCCAGCUUUCGUCUGCUCUCUGGCUGGCAGCUUCUUUAAGGCCUCAUCCGAGACUCUUGGGCAACAAGAACAUGGCAUUUGACCUUCUGCUAUGGUGAAACUGAGGCACAGAAAGGUCAAGCAACUUGCCCAAAGUCACCCAGCUAGAAAGUGGUAGAGACAGAAUUUGGGUCCGGGCCACGUGGCUCUCGAGUCCCGCUCUCKCCUGCCACCACCAUCUCUGCUGCUUCUGCUCUCUGCUGUGUCUCAGCUCAGACAGUCCUUGACCUCUUGGGGAGCUCAGCACAGACCGAGUGAGUGAAUGAACACCGAGACCCACYGCAGCGUAGUUCCCGAGCCCAGCUUCACUCACACAGGGGGAGAAUGCUGGACUGGCCUUCUGUUGCCCUGCUACCUGCCAUGCCCACCAGGCUGCCCACUUGUGGUGGGGGCAGCAAUAGUUCAGAAUGAAUUCUCCCUGGGUUUUCAAGUGGUUCCUUUUGCCKGUGGCUCUCAGGGAGGGUUAGGUGGGGCUGGUUGGGCAAAUCAGCUCCUUCUGAACGUGGUCAAGACCCACAUGUGGUGUGGCCAGGCUCCCACUCUCCCUGUCCAGCACCUCCACAGAGUCCCGGAGAGUCUAGAGGGGCCCAGAGCCGAGCCCACCCCACCAGCACAGGGUGGGCAGACUCGACAGGCUCCUGCRGCCCCAAGCAUCCAAUCUGCAACGUAUCAGCACCAGGAGCGCCAGGAGGGACUGCCCCCCACCCAGGAGCGCACAUAUCCGCAAUGCAAUUCCUUCGAGGAAAAUUACUCAAGCAGCCAUUUAUUAAAACACAACUGCUCCCGAGGAGCCUUUCGGCAGUGGAAAUACCAAAUAGCUUUGAAGCUCCAGCCGUCCCCGAAACCAAUGAAGCAGGCUUCUAGGCACUAUCUGACUUUUAAUCUGCUUGUUCUUUCCCCAUCUGGAAGGUCUAAUGAAAUGUUACACUAUGAGGAACACGGAAAUAAGGAACUUCAGAGGUGAGGGACAUACAUUUAAUUUCUUGCCUUGGCCUGUUAUUUGCAUAAACCUCAAGUGGGGGAAAGAGAAGAAAAAUGGCUGUGUCUGAGCCUCCCGGGGGCAGGGCGUGGGGCUUGGAGGGUGACUGCACCUAGCACGCWGCCCAGGGAGGGGCCCUGCAUCUCAUCUCUGAGGCAGAGAAGACUGGAGCUCCCGUGUCCGUGUCCUCCUCUUYCUUGGGGACCAUAGCUGGACAACUUGAUGGAGUCCUUUGGUUCCACCAGGGGCCAUGUUCUUGUCAGUGUGCACAGAAGGGGUGCACACGCGACUUGGGUCCUUCCAAGCCUGCCUGGUUAGAGCAGGGGUGUCCUCUUCACCYUGUCUUUUCCCUGCCUGCCUCAAGGACGACACCACGGAAAGAGCCUUGGUCCCUGUUGGGCUCUCGGAGGGAGCCCAGCUCUUUCCCAUUGGGCCACCCCAAACUGUAAACUGAGAAAGACAGAAGCUCCUAUUUUGGAUGAAGCCAUUACAAUUUGGGAUUCUUUGCUCCAGAGUUAGCCUACCCUGAUUUAGGCAAUCUUAAUUUUUUAGAUGAGGAAAUAYAGACCAAGAGUUGAAAGUGACUUGCCCCAGGUCACAAUGACCCUAGAUCCAUCCAACAGGGUACUGUCUGACCCUAGGUCCAUCCAAGAGAGUAUUAUCUGAGCCUAGAUCCAUCCAAGAGAGCACUGUCUGAGCCUAGAUCCAUCUAAGAGRGYACUGUCUGAGCCUAGAUCCAUCCAAGAGRGUAUUGUCUGAGCYUAGAUCCAUCCAAGAGAGCACUGUCUGAGCCUAGAUCCAUCCAAGAGAGCACUGUCUGAGCCUAGAUCCAUCCAAGAGAGCACUGUCUGAGCCUAGAUCCAUCCAAGAGAGCACUGUCUGAGCCUAGAUCCAUCCAAGAGAGCACUGUCUGAGCCUAGAUCCAUCCAAGAGAGCACUGUCUGAGCCUAGAUCCAUCCAAGAGAGCACUGUCUGAGUGGUAACUAGACAUGGUUCCUCCAAGGUGCAAAGCUCAGGCAGCUGUUCUGAGUCCAUCUUCCAGGUUCAACUCCUCAGGUCCUAACAACUUAUAUCUUGGCGAGGUGAGGAUUCAGGAGGGAAAUUGUCACCACAGGAUGGGGUUUUUCCCUGCCUCCUUCCUGGGGAGAGAAUCAAGAGGGACACUGAUUCCCAGGGGACUGCCUCCUUCCAAAUGCUGACAAGCCCUAAGAACAGCACGUGCUUUGCAGAAAAGGUCAGGUCCAGAAAGCAGGAGACUCAGCAAUUCCCUGAAUAGCCCAACACUGAGUGCAGGCCGCCUCCAUCAGAACUCACAGGCUCCACGGAAAAUGAACAAGAGUCCAGCAGAGAGAGCCAGAGACCCAGGAGGAGGGCCUCCCGUCAGACCUGGGGACAGCCAACGGGCUAAUCCCUGCAUGGACUGCGCCCUCUCAUCCGCAGAAGCCGCCCCGGGCAUCCAAUCUUCCAGUCGGGCGGGUCUAAUGGGAUUGAAAUAAGUCCUCUAAAUGCCCAGCUCAUUUUUGUUCCUUAAUAAACACAUGCAUAGAGAAAGAAGCAAUUAAAGCAAGGAUGAGGAAAGGAACAACCAAGGAAGAAAGAUGAUUGCCAAACUCUGAGAGGCUGUUUUAGACAAGAGAUGACAGGGAUGGAAAAUAAAAGAAAACGCUGCCACCGCCCUGGUUCCCUGCYUGAGCCCUUCGACGACUUACUGCUGCCUCCCAAGACCACGGUGUAGGACWAUGUCAUACCAGGCAGUCUGUGCCCCAGCCCCUCCCAGGAUGAAUUCUUCAGUUUGCGAGUCAGUUCCAGCAGCCGACCACCGUGGUCACUGCCAGAAACAGGAGCUUCUGGAAGAUGUUUCCAGGCUCUGGAUGGGGGGCCAAAAUCCACAAAUCCUUUUGCACAAAAAGAAGGCACCACUCCUUUGGCUUGAACCUUUUUCCUUUGGUGUGUGUGUGUGUGUGUGUGUGUGUGUGUGUGUGUGUGUUUGGUUGUGGCUUUAAUUUUUUACAAGUCUGAUGUGUCUUCAAUUGUAAAUGGCUUGAGUAAGAAGGGUGGGUGUGCUAUUCCUGAAACCAGGAACCCAGGAGAGCUGCGACCUCAGUCACCCAGAAGUAUUAACUGUUACUGACCAGCUCCUACUGUCUGGCUAAAAAGGGGAUGAACAGAGCUGCUGUCUGACUCGCACGCAGCCCACCAGCCAGGCCUGCCUGGCACUCAACUUUGUGCCAGGGGCUGGGAGGGGCUGCACAGGUGCGCUUGGCCAAACACUGCCCUUGAGGGCUGGACCAUCCUCAAGGGGACAUUGGACCACAGACAGUCAUCGGCUUCUGCUGAGCAGGGGUGUGAGUCCCCUGAGAUCUGGGGCCUGGUUCCCCCAUCUUGCCUUCCCUGAAGCUGGGUGGAAAGAUUUCCAUCUUUCAACCACUGGCUCCCCGCCCCUCUCCCCCCCCAUUGGUUCACUCCUCAUCAUUAACACACCAAAUGCUGUCGAGCACCUGAUUGGAUACUUUGCCAAGCACAUGGUCAAUUACUGACAGAAGAAAAGGGUGAGAAAGAGCCAACAGAAUCCAGUUGUGAAAUCGGUGGCCUGUCUGAUAUCCAUCACCCUUUCAUUUGAUGAUAGAAUCUCCCCCAUGUGGACCCAUGCGAUAUGGCUGGGGGGUUCUGACCCACCAAUAGGGCAAGGACAUGACCAGUUCAGACAAGUCAGUGUGUUCUGUCCCCCUGGACAAAAUGAGGGAUCCAAACAGAUCCAGAUCCCUGGGAUCUGAUAGGAACUCAGAAAACUUUCCUGAACGGUCUGCUCUGUGGCAGAAGAGAACAGAAAGAGCCGGAAAUGAGAAGAUAGGGCUGGGGGCUGGUGUGACCACCCGCGGAAGUAGGGAAUGCAGAAAAGGAUGUAGGUUCCAGAAGAAAAUGGAAGAUUUGUUUUUGGGUAUAKGGAAGUCGAGGCAGGAGGACGUCARGACAAACGUUUCAURGGAAGCUGGGAGUUGGACACACGAGGUUUUGGAAUCAUUGGGGUUGAGUGGAGAAUCAGUCAAAGUAAGGAAAAAGUAAGGCGAGGCUCGAACUGUGCAGAAUACGACCAUGAAGACGCUGGAAGAAGAGGAAAACGAGAGGCAACGCACCCGGGAAGGAUUCAGGAAGAGGCAGUUGAGGACAGUGMGGUGUCAUGGCUAGGAUCAUCCAUAAAGGCCUCGUUUUUCUCAUGUACAGAGAAGUUUUUGAGAUAAAGAUAUUAUAUCUCUCAAUGUCCAAUCUUAAACAGAACAAAAAUAUUUCAGCCAUUUAAAAGACAAAAUACUCUGAAGCAAAAUUCGCAAAAUGCUGAAUAGAAUGUGACGUCACAGAGACACCCGGGCUGUCCAACAGCUUGGUCCCCAGGACCGAAGGAGUCAGGGUCCCGAUACUCCUGGGCCUCGGGCUGCUGUGCUUUCUAAGUGUGUAAGCGACUUAGAGUUUAGCAGGUGUCACCUCUGAUCAGCUUCACUCUGAUCUGAAUAUGGUUUUUUCCCUCUGAAUCUCAUGUUGGAAUCUGACUGCGACUGUGGCAGCGUUGGGAGGUGGAGCCUUUAAGGUUGUGCCUUCCUUCCCUGUGGGACCAGACUCCUUACCUCGGGAACAGGCUGUUAUAAAGCAAGUCUGAGCCCUGUAUUUUGUCUCUUCUGCUUAUCUACCAUGCAGUGACACAGACGCCCUCACCAGAAGCUGAGAAAACACCAGUGCCAUCCUCUUGGACUUUUCCUACCUCCAGAAUCAUGAGCCAAAAUAAACCUCAUUUCUUUAUCAA
Urocitellus parryii (Arctic ground squirrel) is the source of this 4991-nucleotide long non-coding RNA. RefSeq lists it as uncharacterized. NCBI's taxonomy places the organism in Eukaryota, Metazoa, Chordata, Mammalia, Rodentia, Sciuridae. The record is from RefSeq and is a predicted model, not a curated record.